This 467-nucleotide ribosomal RNA is filed under the name uncultured bacterium. RNAcentral's name for it is "partial 16S ribosomal RNA". It matches the Rfam family "Bacterial small subunit ribosomal RNA", at positions 29 to 507 of the family's 1533-position model. The record is from RNAcentral.
ACGCACGCUGGCGGCGUGCUUCACCCCUGCAAGUCGAACGGAAAGGCCCUGCUUUUGUGGGGUGCUCGAGUGGCGAACGGGUGAGUAACACGUGAGUAACCUGCCCUUGACUUUGGGAUAACUUCAGGAAACUGGGGCUAAUACCGGAUAGGAGCUCCUGCUGCAUGGUGGGGGUUGGAAAGUUUCGGCGGUUGGGGAUGGACUCGCGGCUUAUCAGCUUGUUGGUGGGGUAGUGGCUUACCAAGGCUUUGACGGGUAGCCGGCCUGAGAGGGUGACCGGCCACAUUGGGACUGAGAUACGGCCCAGACUCCUACGGGAGGCAGCAGUGGGGAAUAUUGCACAAUGGGCGGAAGCCUGAUGCAGCAACGCCGCGUGCGGGAUGACGGCCUUCGGGUUGUAAACCGCUUUCGCCUGUGACGAAGCGUGAGUGACGGUAAUGGGCAAAGAAGCACCGGCUAACUACGUG